CAGCCGCCGCGGGAAUACGUAGGGUGCGAGCGUUAAUCGGAAUUACUGGGCGUAAAGGGCGCGUAGGUGGUUAUGUAAGUGAGAUGUGAAAUCCCCGGGCUCAACCUGGGAACUGCAUCUUAUACUGCGUAGCUGGAGUGCAGUAGAGGGUAGUGGAAUUUCCGGUGUAGCGGUGAAAUGCGUAGAUAUCGGAAGGAACACCAGUGGCGAAGGCGGCUACCUGGACUGACACUGACACUGAGGCGCGAAAGCGUGGGGAGCAAACAGGAUUAGAUACCCCUGUAGUCCCUGUCUCUUAUAC
This 301-nucleotide ribosomal RNA is filed under the name uncultured bacterium. RNAcentral describes it as "partial 16S ribosomal RNA". It matches the Rfam family "Bacterial small subunit ribosomal RNA", at positions 509 to 807 of the family's 1533-position model. The record is from RNAcentral.